RNAcentral lists this ribosomal RNA (249 nucleotides) under uncultured bacterium. Its description in RNAcentral is "partial 16S ribosomal RNA". It matches the Rfam family "Bacterial small subunit ribosomal RNA", at positions 524 to 771 of the family's 1533-position model. The record is from RNAcentral.
UACGAAGGGGGCUAGCGUUGUUCGGAAUACUGGGCGUAAAGCGCACGUAGGCGGAUCGAUCAGUCAGGGGUGAAAUCCCAGGGCUCAACCCUGGAACUGCCUUUGAUACUGUCGAUCUGGAGUAUGGAAGAGGUGAGUGGAAUUCCGAGUGUAGAGGUGAAAUUCGUAGAUAUUGGGAAGAACACCGGUGGCGAAGGCGGCGACCUGGUCCUUUACUGACGUCUGAGGCGCCGAAAGCGUGGGGAGCAA